GAUUGAACGCUGGCGGCAUGCCUUACACAUGCAAGUCGAACGGCAGCACGGACUUCGGUCUGGUGGCGAGUGGCGAACGGGUGAGUAAUGUAUCGGAACGUACCUUUCAGUGGGGGAUAACGUAGCGAAAGUUACGCUAAUACCGCAUAUUCUGUGAGCAGGAAAGCAGGGGAUCGCAUGACCUUGCGCUGAUUGAGCGGCCGAUAUCAGAUUAGCUAGUUGGUGAGGUAAAGGCUCACCAAGGCGACGAUCUGUAGCGGGUCUGAGAGGAUGAUCCGCCACACUGGAACUGAGACACGGUCCAGACUCCUACGGGAGGCAGCAGUGGGGAAUUUUGGACAAUGGGGGCAACCCUGAUCCAGCCAUGCCGCGUGAGCGAAGAAGGCCUUCGGGUUGUAAAGCUCUUUCGGCCGGGAAGAAAUCGCAUGGGUUAAUACCCUGUGUGGAUGACGGUACCGGAAUAAGAAGCACCGGCUAACUACGUGCCAGCAGCCGCGGUAAUACGUAGGGUGCGAGCGUUAAUCGGAAUUACUGGGCGUAAAGCGUGCGCAGGCGGUUUAGUAAGACAGGCGUGAAAUCCCCGGGCUCAACCUGGGAACUGCGCUUGUGACUGCUAAGCUAGAGUACGGCAGAGGGGGGUGGAAUUCCACGU
This 652-nucleotide ribosomal RNA is filed under the name uncultured Dechloromonas sp. RNAcentral's name for it is "bacterial SSU rRNA". It matches the Rfam family "Bacterial small subunit ribosomal RNA", at positions 27 to 674 of the family's 1533-position model. Lineage: Bacteria; Pseudomonadati; Pseudomonadota; Betaproteobacteria; Rhodocyclales; Azonexaceae. The record is from RNAcentral.